RNAcentral lists this ribosomal RNA (488 nucleotides) under uncultured bacterium. Its description in RNAcentral is "partial 16S ribosomal RNA". It matches the Rfam family "Bacterial small subunit ribosomal RNA", at positions 30 to 506 of the family's 1533-position model. The record is from RNAcentral.
UUGAACGCUGGCGGCAGGCCUAACACAUGCAAGUCGAACGGUAACAGGAAGAAGCUUGCUUCUUUGCUGACGCGUGGCGGACGGGUGAGUAAUGCCUGGGAAACUGCCUGAUGGAGGGGGAUAACUACUGGAAACGGUAGCUAAUACCGCAUAACGUCGCAAGACCAAAGAGGGGGACCUUCGGGCCUCUUGCCAUCGGAUGUGCCCAGAUGGGAUUAGCUAGUAGGUGGGGUAACGGCUCACCUAGGCGACGAUCCCUAGCUGGUCUGAGAGGAUGACCAGCCACACUGGAACUGAGACACGGUCCAGACUCCUACGGGAGGCAGCAGUGGGGAAUAUUGCACAAUGGGCGCAAGCCUGAUGCAGCCAUGCCGCGUGUAUGAAGAAGGCCUUCGGGUUGUAAAGUACUUUCAGCGGGGAGGAAGGGAGUAAAGUUAAUACCUUUGCUCAUUGACGUUACCCGCAGAAGAAGCACCGGCUAACUCCGU